Molecule: non-coding RNA, 115 nt
Filed under: Lachnospiraceae bacterium
Lineage: Bacteria; Bacillati; Bacillota; Clostridia; Lachnospirales; Lachnospiraceae
Description: FMN sequence
Rfam family: FMN riboswitch aptamer (RFN element)
About the family: The RFN element is a highly conserved domain that is found frequently in the 5'-untranslated regions of prokaryotic mRNAs that encode for flavin mononucleotide (FMN) biosynthesis and transport proteins.
Source: RNAcentral
UAAGUUCUUCGGGGCAGGGUGUGAUUCCCUACCGGCGGUAUAGUCCGCGAGCAUUUAUGCAUGAACCGGUGUGAUUCCGGUACCGACAGUAAAGUCUGGAUGAGAGAAGAAACGU